This 21-nucleotide non-coding RNA is filed under the name Arabidopsis thaliana (thale cress). Lineage: Eukaryota; Viridiplantae; Streptophyta; Magnoliopsida; Brassicales; Brassicaceae. The record is from RNAcentral.
AUACACACAAAAUGGUGCGUA